UCAAUAGUCUUUUAAUUGAAGGCCAGAAUGAAUGGUUGAACGAGAAAUACCCUGUCUCUUAUUAAAUAAAUUGAAAUUUACUUUUAAGUGAAAAGGCUUAAAUAUAUUUAAGGGACGAUAAGACCCUAUAAAUCUUUAUAUUAGUUAGUUAUAUAUUUUAUAAGUAUUUAUAUAAGUAAAAUAAAUAACAAACAAUAUUUUGUUGGGGUGAUAUAAAUAUAAUAAAUAACUAUUCUACUUUUAUUACAAUAAUAUUUGAUUAACAUCAAAAAGAUCCUUUAUUUAAGAUUCUAAGAAUAAGUUACUUUAGGGAUAACAGCGUUAUCUUUUUUGAGAGUCCUCAUCAAAAAAAAAAAUUGCGACCUCGAUGUUGAAUUAAAAUAUCUUUAUGGUGCAGAAGCUAUAUAAGAAAGUCUGUUCGACUUUUAAAAUUUUACGUGAUC
RNAcentral lists this ribosomal RNA (443 nucleotides) under Uroptychus naso. RNAcentral's name for it is "partial 16S ribosomal RNA". The stretch from base 312 to 443 matches the Rfam family "Bacterial large subunit ribosomal RNA", at positions 2473 to 2605 of the family's 2925-position model. Lineage: Eukaryota; Metazoa; Arthropoda; Malacostraca; Decapoda; Chirostylidae. The record is from RNAcentral.